This 253-nucleotide ribosomal RNA is filed under the name uncultured bacterium. Its description in RNAcentral is "partial 16S ribosomal RNA". It matches the Rfam family "Bacterial small subunit ribosomal RNA", at positions 524 to 776 of the family's 1533-position model. The record is from RNAcentral.
UACGUAGGGUGCAAGCGUUGUCCGGAAUUAUUGGGCGUAAAGAGCUCGUAGGCGGUUUGUCGCGUCGAAUGUGAAAACCCGGGGCUCAACCCCGGGCCUGCAUUCGAUACGGGCAGACUAGAGUUCGGUAGGGGAGUCUGGAAUUCCUGGUGUAGCGGUGAAAUGCGCAGAUAUCAGGAGGAACACCGGUGGCGAAGGCGGGACUCUGGGCCGAUACUGACGCUGAGAUGCGAAAGCGUGGGGAGCAAACAGG